This 542-nucleotide long non-coding RNA is filed under the name Pan troglodytes (chimpanzee). RNAcentral's name for it is "lncRNA (ENSPTRG00000053398.1)". Lineage: Eukaryota; Metazoa; Chordata; Mammalia; Primates; Hominidae. The record is from RNAcentral.
GGGGAGUUCUGGAACUUGGCAACAGAAGGGCCGGGAGGAGGCUGCUAGCAAUGGCUACGGGGAUGAGAAGGGAUGGAGAAGGGGUCACACUUGAAGUUAAGCACUUGAACCUAAGCACCAGAACCCAGUUCCAGGAUUUCCUCCACCUACUGAGCAUCCUGCUGAUAUAUCAAGGGGAUAGGACAAUAAGAUUUACUCCUGGCUCCUAGACAACAUCAGCGUAUUUUCAUAGUGGUCCCAAGCUCCCCAGGGUGAUCAGAAGACCAGGCCUCCCAUCAGCCAGCCAGUGGAGGCUAUUUGGAAGCCCCUCAGCUCAACUGAGGCAAGUAGUCUCUUCCCCUGCCCACCCCAUCAUUGCACCCUCUUCUGCUGCUACAUUCUUUGUGGUCAUGCCCGACUUCCCCCCUUGCCUUAAAUAGAGAGCCAGAGGCCCCUCCAGGCUGCCAGGAUCCAAGGAAGGCAGGAUGAAUCUCCCGCACAGUGGGAAGCAACCUCAGAUUGGGAAGGGUUCCUCCCAAAGUCAACUCAAUAAAACAAAGAAG